GAGUACACUUAUGUCGAGUAGCCAACACUAACACCAAAUCAAGUAUGAAGUAUCAUGUAUAUGCCUAAACUUAAUGGAUCAUAAACAGAUUUUAUUAAAUGUGCAAGUUUAAUUUAUGAUAUAGUGAAUUCCUCUAGUUUCAAAAUUGGAAGCGACUUAGCUACAUCCAAAGAAAACUAAUCAUUUCAAUUACUUUGCUCUCAUCCUCACUUCCACUUACUUUUUCAUUUGUCUAUUUCCUCAUCCUUGCA
Molecule: long non-coding RNA, 251 nt
Filed under: Trifolium pratense (red clover)
Lineage: Eukaryota; Viridiplantae; Streptophyta; Magnoliopsida; Fabales; Fabaceae
Description: long non-coding RNA (TPRA_LNC008286)
Source: RNAcentral